Molecule: small RNA, 101 nt
Filed under: Salvator merianae (Argentine black and white tegu)
Lineage: Eukaryota; Metazoa; Chordata; Lepidosauria; Squamata; Teiidae
Description: 7SK RNA (ENSSMRG00000011197.1)
Rfam family: 7SK RNA
About the family: 7SK was discovered as an abundant small nuclear RNA in the mid-70s but a possible function has only recently been suggested. Two independent studies have found that 7SK RNA binds the CDK9/cyclin T complex (known as elongation factor P-TEFb). P-TEFb activates transcription by phosphorylating the C-terminal domain of RNA polymerase II.
Source: Rfam by way of RNAcentral
UGUGAGGGCAACCUGGCUGCAACAUCUGUCACCCCAUAGAUUGUUAGGAUUAAUUGACUGAUCUGGCUGGCUAGGUGGGUAUCCCUGUCUUCCCUCACUGC